CUUUUUAGGUUCCAGUAUGUAUGGUUUUUCUUUUUUAGUUCCUUAUAUUAAAAACCUGUGGUAUGCACUGUGUGACAUAACUGUAAUGUGAUUAUUAUUUUUUUUUUUCUCUUCCUGCAAUACAAACCUCAUGAUUAAAAUGGCAUCUAAUGCAUGUUCAGGAGUUUCAUGGAAGGAACCCAACUUAAACAUCUGAAACAAUACAAAGUUAUCUGUCGAAAACGGAGUAAGCAAAUAUUAAAUAUGACAAGAACAGGAUAGCCAGAAGUUUUGGCAUACUCUCAUACAAAAGUUAAACUUCCCUAGAAGUGAAAGGAGAGAAGUGGAAUCGGUGCAAUCGGCUAAAAGGAAAUAGGUUUACCAGUUUGGGGAAAAGGGCUGAGAACCCCAUAACCACCGGACCAGUGACUUGUCUGACCCUUGAGAUUUUGGACUGUGACCCUCUGUAAUCACUUACCCUUCAAACUUCUGAACUCUCUGACAGAACCUGGAGAUGCUAAUCGCUUCAACAUCAAGAGCACAUUGGUCAACAGUGAAUGGGAGAACGAGCUUCAUAACUGCAGUAGCAUUCAUCCUGCCGAAUUUCAGUGGGGGGUUUACCGGCAGAGGAAGACAUGGA
Molecule: long non-coding RNA, 619 nt
Organism: Polypterus senegalus (gray bichir)
Lineage: Eukaryota; Metazoa; Chordata; Cladistia; Polypteriformes; Polypteridae
Exons: 3
Source: RefSeq, a predicted model, not a curated record